This 485-nucleotide ribosomal RNA is filed under the name uncultured Microbacteriaceae bacterium. RNAcentral describes it as "bacterial SSU rRNA". It matches the Rfam family "Bacterial small subunit ribosomal RNA", at positions 91 to 576 of the family's 1533-position model. Lineage: Bacteria; Bacillati; Actinomycetota; Actinomycetes; Micrococcales; Microbacteriaceae. The record is from RNAcentral.
AUUAGUGGCGAACGGGUGAGUAACACGUGAGUAACCUGCCCUUCACUCUGGGAUAAGCACUGGAAACGGUGUCUAAUACCGGAUACGACCUCCGACCGCAUGGUCAGGGGGUGGAAAGAAUUUUGGUGGAGGAUGGACUCGCGGCCUAUCAGCCAGUUGGUGAGGUAAUGGCUCACCAAGGCGACGACGGGUAGCCGGCCUGAGAGGGUGACCGGCCACACUGGGACUGAGACACGGCCCAGACUCCUACGGGAGGCAGCAGUGGGGAAUAUUGCACAAUGGGCGCAAGCCUGAUGCAGCAACGCCGCGUGAGGGACGACGGCCUUCGGGUUGUAAACCUCUUUUAGUAGGGAAGAAGCGACUGGGUUUUCCUGGGAGUGACGGUACCUGCAGAAAAAGCACCGGCUAACUACGUGCCAGCAGCCGCGGUAAUACGUAGGGUGCAAGCGUUGUCCGGAAUUAUUGGGCGUAAAGAGCUCGUAGGC